RNAcentral lists this ribosomal RNA (306 nucleotides) under uncultured bacterium. RNAcentral's name for it is "partial 16S ribosomal RNA". It matches the Rfam family "Bacterial small subunit ribosomal RNA", at positions 505 to 809 of the family's 1533-position model. The record is from RNAcentral.
GACAGCAGUAGCCACGGUAAUACAGAGGGUGCAAGCGUUAAUCGGAAUUACUGGGCGUAAAGCGCGCGUAGGUGGUUUGUUAAGUUGGAUGUGAAAGCCCCGGGCUCAACCUGGGAACUGCAUCCAAAACUGGCAAGCUAGAGUACGGUAGAGGGUGGUGGAAUUUCCUGUGUAGCGGUGAAAUGCGUAGAUAUAGGAAGGAACACCAGUGGCGAAGGCGACCACCUGGACUGAUACUGACACUGAGGUGCGAAAGCGUGGGGAGCAAACAGGAUUAGAUACCCCAGUAGUCCCUGUCUCUUAUAA